RNAcentral lists this long non-coding RNA (258 nucleotides) under Marmota monax (woodchuck). Lineage: Eukaryota; Metazoa; Chordata; Mammalia; Rodentia; Sciuridae. The record is from RNAcentral.
UCCACGGGGCUCUCCGAGAACUCAAUGAGAACUCCGCAAGAACUCAAAAGUAGCCGGCGCCUGAGGCAGCAGGAGCCUCCCUAUUGCCGGGCAGCAGGGGUCUAUAUACAACUGAAUACACAGCCUGUUUCAAUCCAGCAUCAUCCAGUCACAGCAAUUAUACACAGCUUAACUUAAUUAUCAUCAUCUUAGUGGCUUGCUGGCAUCACCUCUCAACCACUCCUUCUGGCAAAAUGUCAGGCGCCAUCCCGGCUGGGC